RNAcentral lists this unclassified non-coding RNA (379 nucleotides) under Hevea brasiliensis (rubber tree). The record is from RNAcentral. Lineage: Eukaryota; Viridiplantae; Streptophyta; Magnoliopsida; Malpighiales; Euphorbiaceae.
GGAGGAGCAUUGGCUUGCAUCAUUGUGGGUUGGCCAUCAUUGUUGUGAUCAUCAUUGCAGUCAUUAUAGUCAUCAUAAGUUUCCUCAAAGAAUCCUGUUCACAAGCAGCUGCAUGUCUCUUACUCUGCCACUCCAUUCCUUUAGUGCUACAUGGUGUCAUUGUGAUUCUUUUGAUUUUUCUUUCUUUCUUGCCUUUUCAUAUCUUCCCCAUUUUGCACUAAAGUGUUCCUUAACAAUAAUUGCAUCUCCUCUAGUUUAUUGCCUAAAGUCCAUAGCUGUCUUAUCUAGUAUGACCCUUCCUGUGUUUCUGUCACUUUAAGUUCUUUGAAUUCCAUUUCCUUAUAUUUUAUGACCAAAUAUGUUGCUUCUUGACUUCCCU